CUUCUAGUGUAUUAAAAAUGAAUAUCUUGGUAAACAACGACACCGUUUAGCGUCGCUGACUGAUGACGUAUUUUCUAUUAAAACAUCCAUAAGCAUUCUGGAACGACUAACAUUCUAUUGGAAGACGUUCUUUCACUCAUAGCAGUCCGGAGAUCCCCUGGAUCAGAGAUGACUUACAGGAGGGAGAGGAGUAUACGAGAUGCAUAUGAAGAGCGCUUUAUGCCUGAGAGAGCGGCGAGAGGUCAGUACUCUCGAGGAGGGGAAAGGCGAAGCCAUUUUGGCAGGCCCGAUAAUUACGACUACGAAGGAGGUCCUCGCUUUUUCCCAAAUGGAGGUGGCCCACGGAAUUACCAUGGAGAAGAUCAACGCGGGUACCAUGGGGAUGGCGGCGGGCAUUUCCCCUCGGAACGUAGAGGCGGACCACCGUCAAGAAGGCAGGAUGAUUAUUCAUACAGAGGACCCAGGGAGGAGCAACACACAGGACGGCCAAUGGAAUAUAACAACCGUGCACCACCACCUCGGACCCAAGGCAUGUACCCAGCGGCCCGAUCGUUACCAGAAAGUGGAUCUGACACGCUCAUGCAAGCUAUACUCAACCUGGACCGUGGGGAUGAAAGACAGGACUACCGGAGAAAGGCGCCGCCGUUCCCGACCCCAAGAGACCGCUCCCCCCACAGCCGCUCAGGUUCAAGCGUGAGCAGCAGGGGUUACUCGCCGGACCGCUCCAAAAGCCUCCCAUUUUCUUCACAACAAGGCAAGAAAAAGAUCCCGGGUCUGUCAAGAGAAGGCUCCCCGAGCAGCGCAAUCUCAAACAAGGAGGAGAACAUUGCACCUGAAGUAGAAAAAGAGGAUCCAUCGGCAAUUACUAUCAUCGAGGAGGUUCCGAAAACGACCACCGAUAACUUAAAGGAACGGAGAGCUCAAGCAAUUGCUGCUAAAGCCAAGGACAUUGAAAAGGUAUUCAAAGCAACUGAAAGACAUAUCACAUACAGGAGAAAUACGCGCGUAGGUGAAGUCUGACGGUAGGACGCCGAGAGUUGCCGCCAUGUAGCUGAUGGCCUCCAGAGUCUCCAAGUUCUCCUUACAUAGAGUGAACGCUGGAAGAAGCACUAAAGUGAGCAAUUAAGCAACAAAAGUCGACCCCGCUCCCGCAAUCGCACCGAGAUGGCCAUCUUGUCCUGGUCGUUGAAGCUUUUGGUCUCCACCAGUUUCCCGAACCUGCGGUUGAGGAAGUGAUGGACGGCCGUGCGAUGCUCCUUGUUGUCGUCCGGGUGAAACGUGUAGGACGAAUCUUGCACUUUGGCAUCGAUGAACCUGAAGAAGUCCUCCGCUUCCUCCUCGGUGACAAGCUGGGAGAGCUCCCUGUAGUCCGGGUCUUCACGAACUCUUAUCUCCGGUUGGAUGGUGACAGUCAUCAAGAACGGGAAGCUGUGUCGGACGGCCCGGUGCACGUUGGCUCUCUGGUACUUGUCGGUGAAGGAACCUAGUGAAAGCUCCUUGUGGCCCGACUUUUCACUGUCCUCCACCUCAUCGCGGAGACUCACCACAAACUGCUCCAGCUUCUCGCUCACCGCCUGACCCAAAACCAUGCUCAAGUCCAAACUGUCUGGGCUGGACAUGGUCAAAUCGAACCUGCAGUCGGUGGAGAUGUCGCAGUCCUCCAAACCUUGAAGGUUCUGGUCAUGCUUACAUUCCGCGCUCGUCUUAUCCGAGCAGUGAGGAGCCUGCACGUCUGUUUCUAUGUUCACCUGCCGUCCAUUUACGUCGAUUUCGGUCACCACGAAGUCUCGGAUGAACUUUUUAAUGUUUCCGUGAAAUCCUUCAUGGUUUGAUAUGAAACAAGCGGGGACUACGGUAGCAUCAGCGUCUUGCUUCAUUUUAAUGCUACUUCUAUGAAUAACUCGCUUUAUAAACGAACUGAAAAGCUGUAUUUUCCGAGUUUUUUUGUUCCAAAGAGAUGUUACGAAGCUAU
Corythoichthys intestinalis (scribbled pipefish) is the source of this 1972-nucleotide RNA transcript. It is a transcript of the gene named periphilin 1, with no coding region annotated. The transcript has 12 exons. The record is from RefSeq and is a predicted model, not a curated record. Lineage: Eukaryota; Metazoa; Chordata; Actinopteri; Syngnathiformes; Syngnathidae.